This 645-nucleotide long non-coding RNA is filed under the name Musa acuminata (dwarf banana). RNAcentral describes it as "long non-coding RNA (MACU_LNC003109)". Lineage: Eukaryota; Viridiplantae; Streptophyta; Magnoliopsida; Zingiberales; Musaceae. The record is from RNAcentral.
GGCGGGUAAACAUAAUAAAUAAUUGUGAUGAGUAUUUUCGCGAACUAACCUGCAAUAUCACUCAAGGGACUCUCUUCUGCUAAGAUAAAUGUUGAUGAGAAAAUUACAUGUUCAUCAAUAGGAAUAACACUACUACAUCCAUAACAGGUAUUUGAACAUGUUAAGCCAUUUGAAACACCAUCUGAUGCCCUUACAAAUAGACAGGAUGGCGUAGAUCUAUCACCAUUGAUGUGAGUGCCUGCUUGUAUGGGUAUGUAUAGUAUGUCUAUCCAAGCAAUCAUCAACCCAUCACCAACCCGAAACUUGAAGGCUCGCUAAGUAUCAUAUAGAAGUUGGAAAAGCAAACAGGUGUCAGAAUGUAGUAGGGAUGCAUAAGCAUGAAUCAGCCAGGUCAGAACCAACAUGAUUGAGCUUAUCCUGAAUGAGAUGCCUGGCUCUGACUCCCCUUCUUUUAAGCAUAGACUCCAUAAGUAGAUGAAAGGACACAAAAGGAGAGAAAGAGAGAAAGGGCAGGAAGCAGUAUGUCAAAGAUCAUGAGAGAAGAAUGUAAAGGCAGCUACAUAUGAUUGCAUGGCCUCCCCCCCGCCGGGAUGAUAAAGUUUUUAAAAGAAACCCCUGGAGCAGUUUGAGAUAACACUCGCCGCG